ACAACAAUAAUAAUAAUAAUAGUAAUAAUAAUAAUAGUAAUAAUAAUAAUAAUAAUAAUAAUUAAAGCUGCAAGCAGCGUUAUGAGGGCCCUCGCACCCCCGGCGCGUCGAGCCACGGCCAACACCUAAAACCAACACCUCCGAUCUGAUGUCACAUUGAUGAAAUUCAUGCAUUCAACCACCAGCUAACAUUUCAUCUCAUUCAAUCAUGAUUAUAGUCGUCCCACUAGGUGGCGCUCUAACCAUUACUGACAAAUGGCAUAACAAACAUUUCCAAGCUCGAGUCUCAUCACGCCUGCGACCUUUGGGAGAGAUUGGACAUUUAGAUUUUGAGUGACAGCAGAUUACUGCUUUUUGGCGAGUGAUUGAAACUCCACGUGCCACCAUGACAACCCCGUUUCCCUGAACGUAAAAAGCUUCGCAAUUUAACAUCACAAAGGUCUUUAGAUUCCACACACUGGAGAUUGGUUCAAUAUGAUGAAAUCCCUUGGAGGAGUUCGUCAAAGAACGGUGCCUGGAAAGAGGGGAAAAUGUUGCCAAAAUUACACAUUAAUUUUAAAAUGGCUGACUUCCUGUUGGAUUUGGGAUAUUGCUCCAAGAGACUUUUUUGUACAUCUUGAUAUCUCCAAUAAGCUUACCAGGUUUCAGACUCAUACAUAGAACACAGAGCAGGGGCUGGGGUUUUGAAAUUUUGUAGGGGGCGCUGUGGAGCAAUUUCGCGCUAUUCAAUGAAAAUGAUCACAUGACAACAAAGCCUUCAUCCAUUUGGAGGUGUGUGCAAAAUUUCAAGCCUCUAUAAACUUUCCAAGCCCUCAAAAGCCACUUCAUCUUUCAUGGUGAACCGCGUUGCCACCAGGGUGCGCCGUUCAGUUUAAAUUCACAAUUUUUGCACUGAAGCAUCACGAGGGACAGAUGGUGAUAUUCACCGCUUUUGAGGUGGCCACGAUGAACCUGUGAAAAUCAGUACAACAAAAUUAAAGCCAUGACAUUUCCUGUUGCCACUAGGUGGCGCUGUCCGUAUUCCCGACAAUGGGCACAUCAAUCUGUUCAGGGCGGGUCUGACAUCAUGCCUGUAAAGUCUGGUACUGAUCAGACUGGAUUUCAUUGAGUUAUACUAAUUUGUUUCUUCAUGGCGUGACAUCAAAGUUCGCCAUGCUGCUGGGGUCACACCCUUUUGCGAAAAGUCACAGUUUUCACUAUAACCCAAGACCAACUCCUUAAGGCUUUCCUGGAGAAAUUUGAGGCUGCAGAUGUCACCCAUCACUAUACUGUACCCCAAAGUGUAAAACAUGACAUUUCCUGUUCCCACUAGGUGGCGCUGUCCUUGAUGUCAAAUAUGGCAGUUGAAAUAUGUUCAGGGGUGGAGCCUUAUCAUAUGUGUUCACUUUGGUCAAGGUCAGAAAAUGUAUGACAAAAUGAGAGGCAAUAAGAUUUUCAUGGCGAGUCAUCGAAAUUCGCCAUGGCGCCACGGCCUCAUAGUAUUGUGAAAACUCAAAAGCUCCGCAAUUUAACAUGGCACAAGGGUGUAGUUGACACUGUCCAAAUUUGAAGCUUAUAGGACCAAAUCCCAAGGAGGAGUUCGUUAAAGUACAAGGCAUGGAAACGGUAAAAUCAGAGCCAAAAUGUCACCUUCAAUCCAAAAUGGCGGACUUCCUGUUGGGAUUAGGACAUUGCCAUAAUAGACUUUUUUGUUCGACUCUGAACGUUAUAUAGGUGUACCGACUUUCAAACUUGUAGGCCAUACCCAUACCGGGGGCUCGCGUUUUUCAUUUUUCUAGGUGGCGCUACUGAGCUAAUUUUCCCUGGCCAUGUCUGAGAACAUUAAAAUACGUAAAUUUUCACCAGACCUGACGCGUGUGCAAAAUUUCAUGAGUUUUCGAGCAUGUUUAGGCCCUCAAACGGCCAAUUCAUUUGCCGAAAUAAUAAUAAUUAAAGCUGCAAGCAGCGUUAUGAGGGCCCUCGCACCCCCAGCGCGUCGAGCCACGCCCAACACCUAAAACCAGCACCUCCGAUCUGAUGUCACAUUGAUGGAAUUCAUGCAUUUAACCACCAGCUAACAUUUCAACUCAUUCAUUCAUGAUUAGUUAGUCAUUCCACUAGGUGGCGCUCUAACCAUUAUGUACAAAUGGCAUAACAAACACUUCCAAGCUCGAGUCUCAUCACACCUGAGACGUUUGGGAGAGAUUGGACAUUGUGUUUUUGAGUGACAGCAGAUUACUGCUUUUUGGCGAGUGAUUCAAACUCUAAGUGCCGCCAUAACCACCCCGUUUCCCUGGACGUAAAAAGCUUCGCAAUUUAACAUCACAAAGGUCUUUAGAUUCCACACACUGGAGAUUGGUUCAAUAUGAUGAAAUCCCUUGGAGGAGUUCGUCAAAGAACGAUGCCUGAAAAGAGGGGAAAAUGUUGCCAAAAUUGCACAUUAAUUUUAAAAUGGCUGACUUCCUGUUGGAUUUGGGAUAUUGCUCCAAGAGACUUUUUUGUACAUCUUGAUAUCUCCUAUAAGCUUAUCAGGUUUCAGACUCAUACAUAAAACACAGAGCUGGGGCUGAUGUUUUGAAAUUUUGCAGGGGGCGCUGUGGAGCAAUUUCGCGCUAUUCAAUGAAAAUGAUCACAUAACAACAAAGCCUUAUGCACAUUGGAGGUGUGCGCCAAAUUUCAAGACUUUUUAAACUUUCCAAGCCCCUCAAAAGCAACUUCAUCUUUCAUGGUGGACCGCGUUGCCACCAGGGUGCGCCGUUCAGUUUAAAGUCACAAUUUUUCCACUGAAGCAUCAUGAGGGACUGAUGUUGAUAUUCACCGCUUUUGAGGUGGCCACGAUGAACCUGUGAAAAUCAGUACAACAAAAUUAAAGCCAUGACAUUUCCUGUUCCCACUAGGUGGCGCUGUCCGUAUUUCCGACAAUGGGCACAUCAAUCUGUUCAGGGCGGGUCUGACAUCAUGCCUGUAAAGUCUGGUACUGAUCAGACUGGAUUUCAUGGAGUUAUACUAAUUUGUUUCUUCAUGGCGAGACAUCAAAGUUCGCCAUGCUGCUGAGGUCACACCCUUUCGUGAAAAGUCACAGUUUUCACUGUACCCCAAGACCAACUCCUUAAGCCUUUCCUGGAGAAAUUUGAGGCUGCAGAUGUCACCCAUCACAAUACUGUACCCCAAAGUGUAAAACAUGACAUUUCCUGUUCCCACUAGGUGGCGCUGUCGCUGACGUCAAAUAUGGCAGUUGAAAUAUGUUCAGGGCUGGAGCCUUAUCAUAUGUGUGCUCUUUGGUCCAGAUCGGACAAUGUAUGACAGAAUGAGAGGCAAUAAGAUUUUCAUGGCGAGUCAUCGAAAUUCGCCGUGGCGCCACGGCCUCAUGGUAUUGUGAAAACUCAAAAGCUCCGCAAUUUAACAUGGCACAAGGGUGUAGUUGGCACUGACCAAAUAUGAAGCUUAUACGACCAAAUCCCAAGGAGGAGUUCGUUAAAGUUCGAGGCAUGGAAAUGGCAAAAUUAGAGCCAAAAUGUCACCUUCACGUCCAAAUGGCGGACUUCCUGUUGGGUUUGCGUCAAUGGGCCCACAGACUUUUUUGUUCGUCUUGGCAUGAUACACAUGUGUGCCAAAUUUCAUACAUGUAGCUCAAACGAUGUGGUCGUAGGGCUGCAUUUAACAAGGCAUAGGUGGCGCUCUAGAGCCAUUUCCCAGUGCUCAUAUGUAAAACCAUUAAAAUACAAAAUUUUUCACCAGACCUGGCAUGUGUGCAAAAUUUCAUGAGUUUUUGAGCAUGUUUAGGCCCUCAAAAAGGCCCUUGUUUGGGGUGAAUAAUAAUAAUAAUAAUAAUUAAAGCUGCAAGCAGCGUUAUGAGGGCCCUCGCACCCCCGGCGCGUCGAGCCACGCCCAACACCUAAAACCAGCACGUCCGAUCUGAUGUCACAUUGAUGGAAUUCAUGCAUUUAACCACCAGCUAACAUUUCAACUCAUUCAUUCAUGAUUAGUUAGUCAUUCCACUAGGUGGCACUCUAACCAUUAUGUACAAAUGGCAUAACAAACAUUUCCGAGCUGGAGUCUCAUCACGCCUAUGAGCUUUGGGAGAGAUUGGACAUUGUGUUUUUGAGUGACAGCAGAUUACUGCUUUUUGGCGAGUGAUUGAAACUCCACGUGCCGCCAUGACCACCCCGUUUCCCUGAACGGAAAAAGCUUCGCAAUUUAACAUCACAAAGGUCUUUAGAUUCUACACACUGAAGAAUGCUUCAAUAUGAUGAAAUCCCUUGGAGGAGUUCGUCAAAGUAUGAGGCCUGAAAAGGGGGGAAAAUGUCGUCAAAAUUACACAUUAAUUUUAAAAUGGCUGACUUCCUGUUGGAUUUGGGAUAUUGCUCCAAGAGACUUUUUUGUACAUCUUGAUAUCUCCUAUAAGAUUACCACGUUUCAGACUCAUACAUAAAACACAGAGCAGGGGCUGCAAUUUUGAAAUUUUGUAGGGGGCGCUGUGGAGCCAUUUUGGGAUAUUCAAUGAAAAUGAUCACAUGACAACAAAGCCUUCAUCCAUUUGGAGGUGUGUGCCAAAUUUCAAGCCUCUAUAAACUUUCCAAGCCCCUCAAAAGCCACUUCAUCUUUCAUGAUGAACCGCGUUGCCACCAGGGUGCGCCGUUCAGUUUAAAGUCACAAUUUUUGCACUGAAGCAUCACGAGGGACUGAUGGUGAUAUUCACUGCUUCUGAGGUGGCCACGAUGAACCUGUGAAAAUCAGUACAACAAAAUUAAAGCCAUGACAUUUCCUGUUGCCACUAGGUGGCGCUGUCCGUAUUUCCGACAAUGGGCACAUCAAUCUGUUCAGGGCGGGUCUGACAUCAUGCCUGUAAAGCCUGGUACUGAUCAGACUGGAUUUCAUUGAGUUAUACUAAUUUGUUUCUUCAUGGCGUGACAUCAAAGUUCGCCAUGCUGCUGGGGUCACACCCUUUCGCGAAAACUCACAGUUUUCACUGUAACCCAAGAUCAACUCCUUAAGGCUUUCCUGGAGAAAUUUGAGGCUGCAGAUGUCACCCAUCACUAUACUGUACCCCAAAGUGUAAAACAUGACAUUUCCUGUUCCCACUAGGUGGCGCUGUCCUUGAUGUAAAAUAUGGCAGUUGAAAUAUGUUCAGGGGUGGAGCCUUAUCAUAUGUGUUCACUUUGGUCAAGGUCAGAAAAUGUAUGACAGAAUGAGAGGCAAUAAGAUUUUCAUGGCGAGUCAUCGAAAUUCGCCGUGGCGCCACGUCCUCAUGGUAUGGUGAAAACUCAAAAGCUCCGCAAUUUAACAUGGCACAAGGGUGUAGUUGGCACUGACCAAAUAUGAAGGUUAUGAAAUCAAACCCCAAGGAGGAGUUCGCAAAAGUUCGAGGCAUGGAAAUGGCAAAAUUAGAGCCAAAAUGUCACCUUCUCUUCCAAAUGGCGGACUUCCUGUUGGGUUUGCGUCAAUGGGCCCACAGACUUUUUUGUUCGUCUUGGCAUGAUACACAUGUGUGCCAAAUUUCAUACAUGUAGCUCAAACCAUGUGGUCGUAGGGCUGCAUUUAACAAGGCAUAGGUGGCGCUGUAGAGCCAUUUCCCAGUGCUCAUAUGUAAAACCAUUAAAAUACAAAAUUUUUCACCAGACCUGGCAUGUGUGCAAAAUUUCAUGAGUUUUUGAGCAUGUUUAGGCCCUCAAAAAGGCCCUUGUUUGGGGUGAAUAAUAAUAAUAAUAAUAAUUAAAGCUGCAAGCAGCGUUAUGAGGGCCCUCGCACCCCGGCGCGUCGAGCCACGCCCAACACCUAAAACCAGCACGUCCGAUCUGAUGUCACAUUGAUGGAAUUCAUGCAUUUAACCACCAGCUAACAUUUCAACUCAUUCAUUCAUGAUUAGUUAGUCAUUCCACUAGGUGGCGCUCUAACCAUUAUGUACAAAUGGCAUAACAAACAUUUCCAAGCUCGAGUCUCAUCACACCUGCGACCUUUGGGAGAGAUUGGACAUUGUGUUUUUUAGUGACAGCAGAUUACUGCUUUUUGCGAGUGAUUGAAACUCUACGUGCCGCCAUGACCACCCCGUUUCCCUGAACGUAAAAAGCUUCGCAAUUUAACAUCACAAAGGUCUUUAGAUUCUACACACUGAAGAAUGCUUCAAUAUGAUGAAAUCCCUUGGAGGAGUUCGUCAAAGUAUGAGGCCUGAAAAGGGGGGAAAAUGUCGUCAAAAUUACACAUUAAUUUUAAAAUGGCUGACUUCCUGUUGGAUUUGGGAUAUUGCUCCAAGAGACUUUUUUGUACAUCUUGAUAUCUUACAUAAGCUUACCAAGUUUCAGACUCAUAGAUGAAACACAGAGCAGGGGCUGAUGUUUUGAAAUAUUGUAGGGGGCGCUGUGGAGCCAUUUUGCGCUAUUCAAGGAAAAUGGUUACAUAACCACAAUGCCUUCAUCCAUUUGGAGGUGUGUGCCAAAUUUCAAGCCUCUAUAAACUUUCCAAGCCCCUCAAAAGCCACUUCAUCUUUCAUGAUGAACCGCGUUGCCACCAGGGUGCGCCGUUCAGUUUAAAGUCACAAUUUUUGCACUAAAGCAUCAUCAAGGACUGAUGGUGAUAUUCACCGCUUUUGAGGUGGCCACAAUGAACCUGUGAAAAUCAGUACAACAAAGUGUAAGACGUGACAUUUUCUGUUGCCACUAGGUGGCGCUGUACGUAUUCCCGACAAUGGGCACAUCAAUCUGUUCAGGGCGGGUCUGACAUCAUGCCUGUAAAGUCUGGUACUGAACAGACUGGAUUUCAUUGAGUUAUACUAAUUUGUUUCUUCAUGGCGUGACAUCAAAGUUCGCCAUGCUGCUGGGGUCACACCCUUUUGCGAAAAGUCACAGUUUUCACUGUAACCCAAGACCAACUCCUUAAGGCUUUCCUGGAGAAAUUUGAGGCUGCAGAUGUCACCCAUCACUAUACUGUACCCCAAAGUGUAAAACAUGACAUUUCCUGUUCCCACUAGGUGGCGCUGUCCUUGAUGUCAAAUAUGGCAGUUGAAAUAUGUUCAGGGGUGGAGCCUUAUCAUAUGUGUUCACUUUGGUCAAGGUCAGAAAAUGUAUGACAGAAUGAGAGGCAAUAAGAUUUUCAUGGCGAGUCAUCGAAAUUCGCCGUGGCGCCACGUCCUCAUGGUAUGGUGAAAACUCAAAAGCUCCGCAAUUUAACAUGGCACAAGGGUGUAGUUGGCACUGACCAAAUAUGAAGGUUAUGAAAUCAAACCCCAAGGAGGAGUUCGCAAAAGUUCGAGGCAUGGAAAUGGCAAAAUUAGAGCCAAAAUGUCACCUUCUCUUCCAAAUGGCGGACUUCCUGUUGGGUUUGCAUCAAUGGGCCCACAGACUUUUUUGUUCGUCUUGGCAUGAUACACAUGUGUGCCAAAUUUCAUACAUGUAGCUCAAACGAUGUGGUCGUAGGGCUGCAUUUAACAAGGCAUAGGUGGCGCUGUAGAGCCAUUUCCCAGUGCUCAUAUGUAAAACCAUUAAAAUACAAAAUUUUUCACCAGACCUGGCAUGUGUGCAAAAUUUCAUGAGUUUUUGAGCAUGUUUAGGCCCUCAAAAAGGCCCUUGUUUGGGGUGAAUAAUAAUAAUAAUAAUUAAAGCUGCAAGCAGCGUUAUGAGGGCCCUCGCACCCCGCGCGUCGAGCCACGCCCAACACCUAAAACCAGCACCUCCGAUCUGAUGUCACAUUGAUGGAAUUCAUGCAUUUAACCACCAGCUAACAUUUCAACUCAUUCAUUCAUGAUUAGUUAGUCAUUCCACUAGGUGGCACUCUAACCAUUAUGUACAAAUGGCAUAACAAACAUUUCCGAGCUGGAGUCUCAUCACGCCUAUGAGCUUUGGGAGAGAUUGGACAUUGUGUUUUUGAGUGACAGCAGAUUACUGCUUUUUGGCGAGUGAUUGAAACUCCACGUGCCGCCAUGACCACCCCGUUUCCCUGAAUGUAAAAAGCUUCGCAAUUUAACAUCACAAAGGUCUUUAGAUUCUACACACUGAAGUAUGCUUCAAUAUGAUGAAAUCCCUUGGAGGAGUUCGUCAAAGUAUGAGGCCUGAAAAGGGGGGAAAAUGUCGUCAAAAUUACACAUUAAUUUUAAAAUGGCUGACUUCCUGUUGGAUUUGGGAUAUUGCUCCAAGAGACUUUUUUGUACAUCUUGAUAUCUUACAUAAGCUUACCAGGUUUCAGACUCAUAGAUGAAACACAGAGCAGGGGCUGAUGUUUUGAAAUAUUGUAGGGGGCGCUGUGGAGCCAUUUUGCGCUAUUCAAGGAAAAUGGUUACAUAACCACAAUGCCUUCAUCCAUUUGGAGGUGUGUGCCAAAUUUCAAGCCUCUAUAAACUUUCCAAGCCCCUCAAAAGCCACUUCAUCUUUCAUGAUGAACCGCGUUGCCACCAGGGUGCGCCGUUCAGUUUAAAGUCACAAUUUUUGCACUAAAGCAUCAUCAAGGACUGAUGGUGAUAUUCACCGCUUUUGAGGUGGCCACAAUGAACCUGUGAAAAUCAGUACAACAAAGUGUAAGACGUGACAUUUUCUGUUGCCACUAGGUGGCGCUGUACGUAUUCCCGACAAUGGGCACAUCAAUCUGUUCAGGGCGGGUCUGACAUCAUGCCUGUAAAGUCUGGUACUGAACAGACUGGAUUUCAUUGAGUUAUACUAAUUUGUUUCUUCAUGGCGUGACAUCAAAGUUCGCCAUGCCGCUGGGGUCACACCCUUUUGCGAAAAGUCACAGUUUUCACUGUAACCCAAGACCAACUCCUUAAGGCUUUCCUGGAGAAAUUUGAGGCUGCAGAUGUCACCCAUCACUAUACUGUACCCCAAAGUGUAAAACAUGACAUUUCCUGUUCCCACUAGGUGGCGCUGUCCUUGAUGUCAAAUAUGGCAGUUGAAAUAUGUUCAGGGGUGGAGCCUUAUCAUAUGUGUUCACUUUGGUCAAGGUCAGAAAAUGUAUGACAAAAUGAGAGGCAAUAAGAUUUUCAUGGCGAGUCAUCGAAAUUCGCCAUGGCGCCACGGCCUCAUAGUAUUGUGAAAACUCAAAAGCUCCGCAAUUUAACAUGGCACAAGGGUGUAGUUGAGACUGACCAAAGAUGAAGCUUAUACGACCAAAUCCCAAGGAGGAGUUCGUUAAAGUUCGAGGCAUGGAAACGGUAAAAUCAGAGCCAAAAUGUCACCUUCAAUCCAAAAUGGCGGACUUCCUGUUGGGUUUAGGACAUUGCCAUAAUAGACUUUUUUGUUCGACUCUGAACGUUAUAUAGGUGUACCGACUUUCAAACAUGUAGGCCAUACCCAUACCGGGGGCUCGCGUUUUUCAUUUUUCUAGGUGGCGCUACUGAGCUAAUUUUCCCUGGCCAUGUCUGAGAACAUUAAAAUACGUAAAUUUUCACCAGACCUGACGCGUGUGCAAAAUUUCAUGAGUUUUCGAGCAUGUUUAGGCCCUCAAACGGCCAAUUCAUUUGCCGAAAUAAUAAUAAUAAUAAUAAUAAUAAACAGAGCAAUUACAAUAGGGCCUUCGCACUGUCAGUGCUCGGGCCCUAAUUAAAGCUGCAAGCAGCGUUAUGAGGGCCCUCGCACCCCCAGCGCGUCGAGCCACGCCCAACACCUAAAACCAGCACCUCCGAUCUGAUGUCACAUUGAUGGAAUUCAUGCAUUUAACCACCAGCUAACAUUUCAACUCAUUCAUUCAUGAUUAGUUAGUCGUUCCACUAGGUGGCACUCUAACCAUUAUGUACAAAUGGCAUAACAAACAUUUCCGAGCUGGAGUCUCAUCACGCCUAUGAGCUUUGGGAGAGAUUGGACAUUGUUUUUUUUAGUGACAGCAGAUUACUGCUUUUUGCGAGUGAUUGAAACUCUACGUGCCGCCAUGACCACCCCGUUUCCCUGAACGGAAAAAGCUUCGCAAUUUAACAUCACAAAGGUCUUUAGAUUCUACACACUGAAGAAUGCUUCAAUAUGAUGAAAUCCCUUGGAGGAGUUCGUCAAAGUAUGAGACCUGAAAAGGGGGGAAAAUGUCGUCAAAAUUACACAUUAAUUUUAAAAUGGCUGACUUCCUGUUGGAUUUGGGAUAUUGCUCCAAGAGACUUUUUUGUACAUCUUGAUAUCUUACAUAAGCUUACCAGGUUUCAGACUCAUAGAUGAAACACAGAGCAGGGGCUGAUGUUUUGAAAUAUUGUAGGGGGCGCUGUGGAGCCAUUUUGCGCUAUUCAAGGAAAAUGGUUACAUAAC
Molecule: long non-coding RNA, 10187 nt
Organism: Haplochromis burtoni (Burton's mouthbrooder)
Lineage: Eukaryota; Metazoa; Chordata; Actinopteri; Cichliformes; Cichlidae
Exons: 2
Source: RefSeq, a predicted model, not a curated record